GACGAACGCUGGCGGCGUGCCUAAUACAUGCAAGUAGAACGCUGAAGGAGGAGCUUGCUCUUCUGGAUGAGUUGCGAACGGGUGAGUAACGCGUAGGUAACCUGCCUGGUAGCGGGGGAUAACUAUUGGAAACGAUAGCUAAUACCGCAUAACAGUAGAUGUUGCAUGACAUUUGCUUAAAAGGUGCAAUUGCACCACUACCAGAUGGACCUGCGUUGUAUUAGCUAGUUGGUGGGGUAACGGCUCACCAAGGCGACGAUACAUAGCCGACCUGAGAGGGUGAUCGACCACACUGGGACUGAGACACGGCCCAGACUCCUACGAGAAGCAGCAGUAGGGAAUCUUCGGAAAUGGACGAAAGUCUGACCGAGCAACGCCGCGUGAGUGAAGAAGGUUUUCGGAUCGUAAAGCUCUGUUGUAAGGGAAGAACGAGUGUGAGAGUGGAAUGUUCACUCUGUGACGGUAUCUUACCAGAAAGGGACGGCUAACUACGUG
Molecule: ribosomal RNA, 495 nt
Filed under: uncultured bacterium
Lineage: Bacteria
Description: partial 16S ribosomal RNA
Rfam family: Bacterial small subunit ribosomal RNA
Source: RNAcentral